CCUACGGGUGGCAGCAGUGGGGAAUAUUGCACAAUGGGGGAAACCCUGAUGCAGCGACGCCGCGUGAGUGAAGAAGUAUUUCGGUAUGUAAAGCCCUAUCAGCAGGGAAGCAAAUGACGGUACCUGAUUAAGAAGCCCCGGCUAACUACGUGCCAGCAGCCGUGGUUAGACGGAGGGGGCAAGCGUUAUCCGGAUUUACUGGGUGUAAUGGGAGCGUAGGCGGUGAUGCAAGUCAGAAGGGAAAGCCCGGGGCUCAACUCCGGGACUGCUUUUGAAACUGUGUGACUGGAGUGCAGGAGAGGUAAGCGGAAUGCGUGGUGUAGCGGUGAAAUGCGUAGAUAUCGGGAGGAACACCAGUGGCGAAGGCAGCUUACUGGACUGUAACUGACGUUGAGGCUCGAAAGCGUGGGGAGCGAACAGGAUUAGAUACCCUUGUAGUC
This 440-nucleotide ribosomal RNA is filed under the name uncultured bacterium. RNAcentral's name for it is "partial 16S ribosomal RNA". It matches the Rfam family "Bacterial small subunit ribosomal RNA", at positions 338 to 795 of the family's 1533-position model. The record is from RNAcentral.